CACACAGAGUCAUCCACUGCACUCACAGGAAUGCCAUUUAACUUUGCCUUUCUCUAACCCAGGUGCCACCCCUAAUAAAGGCCACAGGCUUGGAAUCAGGAUGAAGCUGGAGCCUGAAGGAGCCAGGCACACUCAGGAGAGGGCAAGUAGCUGCCUUACAGGGAUUUGGCCCACAAAACUCUAGACUCACACUUUGGUUUUGGUUUUUAUUGGUCAGCUUUAUUGUAGCUGACCAAGAGGCUCACAGGCCAUCACAAGGCCCUUCAAGGCAGACUCAUUUCAGGUGUAACGUGGGUCCACAUCAUCGAUCAUCCAAAAGAUAAUUUGGGGCCCACGGCCUGGAGAUGGGAGAAUAGUGGGUUGGUAGUUCUUGGGGCAUAUUUUAAAAAUUAGCAAAGGGAAAAGCAAACUCCUCCAAGGGCCUCUUAGGAAAGCUAAAGGGAGAGGCUCUACUUUUGGUGGCAGCUUUCAGGUGGGCAGUGCAGAACAGCUCUGGUUUGUGUCGUGGUUUCCGGUGUGCCGUGCUACCUAGUGUGUCUUUGGGGUCCCUUUUGCCUUCUUCCCUCGAGGCCCUCACCACAAGCAUGAUGUGUCGUGUUUGAUGUCCACCUGUUUGUCACGUUCUGUGUCACGGGUGUCUGCACACAUAUGGGUGCCAGAGCUGUUCUGCCCUGCUGCAUGGCCAGCUGCAAUAGGAGAAGUCCCGGGGACUUGGAAUUUGUACUGUGGGGUGUAGUUGGACUCUAGAUGGGACUUGUGGAUGGACACAGGAUAUCUGGAGCUCUUCAGUUGUCCUGCAACAGUGUGACUCUUGUCCUAACAUUUUUUUCAGAUUCUCAUGGGUUAAAUCUGGGCCAGAGGGCCCAAUCCCGUGUGAGGGGAUUCCCCCGAGCAGGAAGUGAAUCUGGAUAUUAGCAGUCAAGGUGAGCCGUGGAGAGAAGUGGUUGUUAUUGCUCAGCUCUCAAGAACAACACUUUUUUCAUCAGAUUCAUCGUGUCACAAGAG
This 1005-nucleotide long non-coding RNA is filed under the name Zonotrichia albicollis (white-throated sparrow). RNAcentral's name for it is "lncRNA (ENSZALG00000012075.1)". Lineage: Eukaryota; Metazoa; Chordata; Aves; Passeriformes; Passerellidae. The record is from RNAcentral.